UUCAUUUGCAUCACCCUGGGAAACUGGAAAGGCCACAGGAAUAGGCAUCAGUGAUACACCAGACGUGACAGCUGAAACACAGCCUUCACACUUACAAAUUCCAGGAGGGACUAGCUCUCCUUUCAGAGGCAAGAAGCCAUGUUGAAUUGGAAGAUGCAUCAGUGAGCCUGGAGAGAGGAUUUUUUUCCCAGGAAGCCAUCCCGUCAGAGGGGUUCAAGUGAUGAAAGUUGGCAAACUGCAGCUACAUCAAGGCAUGUUUCCCCAAGCAAUGAAGAAUCUGAGACUGGCUUUUGAUAUUAUGAGAGUGACACAUGGCAGAGAACACAGCCUGAUUGAAGAUUUGAUUCUACUUUUAGAAGAAUGCGACGCCAACAUCAGAGCAUCCUAAGGGAACGCAGUCAGAGGGAAAUACGGCGUGUGUCUUUGUUGAAUGCCUUAUUGAGGUCACACACUCUAUGCUUUGUUAGCUGUGUGAACCUCUCCUAUUGGAAAUUCUGUUCCGUGUUUGUGUAGGUAAAUAAAGGCAGACAUGGUUUGCAAACCACAAGAAUCAUUAGUUGUAGAGAAGCACGAUUAUAAUAAAUUCAAAACAUUUGGUUG
This 600-nucleotide long non-coding RNA is filed under the name Homo sapiens (human). RNAcentral describes it as "HSALNT0025297". Lineage: Eukaryota; Metazoa; Chordata; Mammalia; Primates; Hominidae. The record is from RNAcentral.